UACGGAGGGGGCUAUCGUUGUUCGGAAUUACUGGGCGUAAAGCGCGCGUAGGCGGAUCUGUAAGUUGGGGGUGAAAUCCCGAGGCUCAACCUCGGAACUGCCUUCGAUACUGCAGAUCUCGAGUCCGAGAGAGGUGAGUGGAAUUCCUAGUGUAGAGGUGAAAUUCGUAGAUAUUAGGAAGAACACCAGUGGCGAAGGCGGCUCACUGGCUCGGUACUGACGCUGAGGCGCGAAAGCGUGGGGAGCAAACAGG
Molecule: ribosomal RNA, 253 nt
Filed under: uncultured bacterium
Lineage: Bacteria
Description: partial 16S ribosomal RNA
Rfam family: Bacterial small subunit ribosomal RNA
Source: RNAcentral